ACUCAAAUGAAUUGACGGGGACCUGCACAAGCGGUGGAGCAUGUGGUUUAAUUCGACGCAACGCGAAGAACCUUACCUGGGUUAAAUCCCAGUUGUAAGGCGCAGAGAUGCGCCCCCCUCGCAAGAGGCGGCUGGGAAGGUGCUGCAUGGCUGUCGUCAGCUCGUGUCGUGAGAUGUUGGGUUAAGUCCCGCAACGAGCGCAACCCUUACCAUUAGUUACCAGCAUUCAGUUGGGGACUCUAAUGGAACUGCCGGUGAUAAACCGGAGGAAGGUGGGGAUGACGUCAAGUCAUCAUGGCCUCUAUGUCCAGGGCUACACACGUGCUACAAUGGACGGUACAAACCGCCGCAAACUCGCGAGAGGGAGCCAAUCGGAAAAAACCGUUCUCAGUUCGGAUUGUAGUCUGCAACUCGACUACAUGAAGUUGGAAUCGCUAGUAAUCGCAGAUCAGCACGCUGCGGUGAAUACGUUCCCAGGUCUUGUACACACCGCCCGU
RNAcentral lists this ribosomal RNA (497 nucleotides) under uncultured bacterium. Its description in RNAcentral is "partial 16S ribosomal RNA". It matches the Rfam family "Bacterial small subunit ribosomal RNA", at positions 899 to 1397 of the family's 1533-position model. The record is from RNAcentral.